RNAcentral lists this ribosomal RNA (254 nucleotides) under uncultured bacterium. Its description in RNAcentral is "partial 16S ribosomal RNA". It matches the Rfam family "Bacterial small subunit ribosomal RNA", at positions 524 to 776 of the family's 1533-position model. The record is from RNAcentral.
UACGUAGGGUGCAAGCGUUUGUCCGGAAUUAUUGGGCGUAAAGAGCUCGUAGGCGGUUCGUCGCGUCGGCUGUGAAAUCCCGCGGCUCAACCGCGGGUCUGCAGUCGAUACGGGCAGGCUAGAGUUCGGUAGGGGAGACUGGAAUUCCUGGUGUAGCGGUGAAAUGCGCAGAUAUCAGGAGGAACACCGAUGGCGAAGGCAGGUCUCUGGGCCGAUACUGACGCUGAGGAGCGAAAGCGUGGGGAGCGAACAGG